Molecule: ribosomal RNA, 877 nt
Filed under: uncultured bacterium
Lineage: Bacteria
Description: bacterial SSU rRNA
Rfam family: Bacterial small subunit ribosomal RNA
Source: RNAcentral
UUUACGCUGGCGGCGCACAUAAGACAUGCAAGUCGAACGAACUUAAUCGUUAGUUUACUAAUGAAGCGGUUAGUGGCGGACUGGUGUGUAACACGUAAGCAACCUGCCUAUUAGAGGGGAACAACAGUUAGAAAUGACUGCUAAUACCGCGUAUGCCAUAAGUAUCGCAUGAUACAAGUGGGAAAGGAGCAAUCCGCUAAUAGAUGGGCUUGCGUCUGAUUAGAUAGUUGGUGGGGUAACGGCCUACCAAGUCGACGAUCAGUAGCCGAGUUGAGAGACUCUACGGCCACAUUGGGACUGAGAUACGGCCCAGACUCCUACGGGAGGCAGCAGUCGGGAAUAUUGCGCAAUGGAGGAAACUCUGACGCAGUGACGCCGCGUGCAGGAAGAAGGUUUUCGGAUUGUAAACUGCUUUAGACAGGGAAGAAAAAGACAGUACCUGUAGAAUAAGCUCCGGCUAACUACGUGCCAGCAGCCGCGGUAAUACGUAGGGAGCAAGCGUUAUCCGGAUUUAUUGGGUGUAAAGGGUGCGUAGACGGGAAAAUAAGUUAGUUGUGAAAUCCCCAUGCUUAACAUGGGAACUGCAACUAAAACUGUUUUUCUUGAGUGCUGGAGAGGAAAGUGGAAUUCCUAGUGUAGCGGUGAAAUGCGUAGAUAUUAGGAGGAACACCAGUGGCGGAGGCGACUUUCUGGACAGUAACUGACGUUGAGGCACGAAAGUGUGGGGAGCAAACAGGAUUAGAUACCCUGGUAGUCCACACCGUAAACGAUGGAUACUAGGUGUAGGGUGUGAUAAACGCUCUGUGCCGUCGCAAACGCAGUAAGUAUCCCACCUGGGGAGUACGGCCGCAAGGUUGCAACUCAAAGGAAUUGACGG